AUACGGAGGAUGCGAGCGUUAUCCGGAUUUAUUGGGUUUAAAGGGAGCGUAGGUGGGAUAUUAAGUCAGCUGUGAAAGUUUGGGGCUCAACCUUAAAAUUGCAGUUGAUACUGGUUUCCUUGAGUACGGUACAGGUGGGCGGAAUUCGUGGUGUAGCGGUGAAAUGCUUAGAUAUCACGAAGAACUCCGAUCGCGAAGGCAGCUCACCGGGCCGGAACUGACACUGAUGCUCGAAAGUGCGGGUAUCAAACAGGAUUAGAUACCCUGGUAGUCCGCACAGUAAACGAUGAAUACUCGCUGUUUGCGAUACACGGUAAGCGGCCAAGCGAAAGCGUUAAGUAUUCCACCUGGGGAGUACGCCGGCAACGGUGAAACUCAAAUGAAUUGACGAGG
This 393-nucleotide ribosomal RNA is filed under the name uncultured bacterium. RNAcentral describes it as "partial 16S ribosomal RNA". It matches the Rfam family "Bacterial small subunit ribosomal RNA", at positions 523 to 918 of the family's 1533-position model. The record is from RNAcentral.